RNAcentral lists this ribosomal RNA (440 nucleotides) under uncultured bacterium. Its description in RNAcentral is "partial 16S ribosomal RNA". It matches the Rfam family "Bacterial small subunit ribosomal RNA", at positions 338 to 795 of the family's 1533-position model. The record is from RNAcentral.
CCUACGGGAGGCAGCAGUGGGGAAUAUUGCACAAUGGGGGAAACCCUGAUGCAGCGACGCAGCGUGAGUGAAGAAGUAUCUCGGUACGUAAAGCUCUAUCAGCAGGGAAGAAAAGGAAGGUACCUGACUAAGAAGGCCCGGCUAACUACGUGCCAGCAGCCGCGGUAAUACGUAGGGGGCAAGCGUUAUCCGGAUUUACUGGGUGGAAAGGGAGCGUAGAUGGGAGCACAAGUCAGGAGUGAAAUGCUGGGGCUUAACCCCGGAACUGCUUUGGAAACUGGCAGUCUGGAGUGCAGGAGGGGUAAGCGGAAUUCGUGGUGUAGCGGUGAAAUGCGUAGAUAUCAGGAGGAACACCGGUGGCGAAGGCGGCUUACUAGACUGUAACUGACGUUGAGGCUCGAAAGCGUGGGGAGCAAACAGGAUUAGAUACACCUGUAGUC